This is a long non-coding RNA of Condylura cristata (star-nosed mole), 777 nucleotides long. RefSeq lists it as uncharacterized. NCBI's taxonomy places the organism in Eukaryota, Metazoa, Chordata, Mammalia, Eulipotyphla, Talpidae. The record is from RefSeq and is a predicted model, not a curated record. The transcript is spliced from 3 exons.
CCAGAGCAAACCUUAGUCCUGCUGUGGUGUAUUGCUGAUGUGACCUCCCAGAGGACUGGGGCUGGAAGCCUCCAGGUCCCGGGCUUGGCUGCCCUACUGCACCAGCUCUGCCUAAGCUCCGUACUCAAGGACCUUGUCUCAGAUGAAUUCAUACCCCAGCGAAGACAACAGUCAGGGGAGUGGAAAGAUCAUCCCAGUGGAGCCAGGAUAUCACAUGUACAGCGGCGUCACUAGCUGUGGCCUUGUCCAAGACAUGGAGCCUCUGGGUCCUGCGUUCUCAGCAUCAGAUUCCUAGGAUGGAGACAUGCAGAGGCACAGAGAGACAGCCUCACUUAUGGACCUCAGCCCCUCUCAGCACCCACAUCCACACUCAGAGGCCUCAUGGAGAGAGCCAGGCCAGAGAGGUACUGGCCAGUGACAGUCCUUCCACUGGGCUCUCCAAGUUCAUGGCAGUGAAGUGGAAAGUUCUGCUUGGUGUCCCUUGGCCUCAACCCCUGAAGUGUCUGUGAAGGAACAUUGCCUCCCAGGCUUCCCAGAAAGUUUGUGAAUUCACCACAGGUCAUGAACAAAAGCACAUGGCCUGGCUUUGGCCUUUUCUACCCUCCCUCAUUUGUGAAGCUACUGUUGCAUUUGCACCUGGAGCCCACGUUGACCUCUUCAGCCUCCCUGCAGAUCUUCAUUCCCCCUGAAGGGCUGAGCCUUCCUGGAGAUGGGAUAAGGGAGAGAAGUGGAGAGCGUGAGCUGGUCUGAGGACCGAUACCAUUGAGUGAGGAGGAA